CUACGGGACGCACCAGUGGGGAAUAUUGCACAAUGGGCGCAAGCCUGAUGCAGCCAUGCCGCGUGUAUGAAGAAGGCCUUCGGGUUGUAAAGUACUUUCAGCGGGGAGGAAGGGAGUAAAGUUAAUACCUUUGCUCAUUGACGUUACCCGCAGAAGAAGCACCGGCUAACUCCGUGCCAGCAGCCGCGGUAAUCGGAGGGUGCAAGCGUGAAUCGGAAUUACUGGGCGUAAAGCGCACGCAGGCGGUUUGUUAAGUCAGAUGUGAAAUCCCCGGGCUCAACCUGGGAACUGCAUUUGGAACUGGCAAGCUUGAGUCUCGUAGAGGGGGGUAGAAUUCCAGGUGUAGCGGUGACAUGCGUAGAGAUCUGGAGGAAUACCGGUGGCGAAGGCGGCCCCCUGGACGAAGACUGACGCUCAGGUGCGAAAGCGUGGGGAGCAAACAGGAUUAGAUACCCCAGUAGUC
RNAcentral lists this ribosomal RNA (463 nucleotides) under uncultured bacterium. RNAcentral describes it as "partial 16S ribosomal RNA". It matches the Rfam family "Bacterial small subunit ribosomal RNA", at positions 339 to 795 of the family's 1533-position model. The record is from RNAcentral.